GACGAACGCUGGCGGCGUGCUUAACACAUGCAAGUCGAACGAUGAAGCUGGAGCUUGCUCCGGUGGAUUAGUGGCGAACGGGUGAGUAACACGUGAGCAAUCUGCCCUUGACUCUGGGAUAACUGCGGGAAACUGUAGCUAAUACCGGAUACGAGGCUCGAAGGCAUCUUCGGGUCUGAAAAGAAUUUCGGUCAAGGAUGAACUCGCGGCCUAUCAGCUUGUUGGUGAGGUAAUGGCUCACCAAGGCGACGACGGGUAGCCGGCCUGAGAGGGUGACCGGCCACACUGGGACUGAGACACGGCCCAGACUCCUACGGGAGGCAGCAGUGGGGAAUAUUGCACAAUGGGCGAAAGCCUGAUGCAGCAACGCCGCGUGAGGGAUGAAGGCCUUCGGGUUGUAAACCUCUUUUAGCAGGGAAGAAGCGAAAGUGACAGUACCUGCAGAAAAAGCACCGGCUAACUACGUGCCAGCCGCCGCGGUAA
This 483-nucleotide ribosomal RNA is filed under the name uncultured bacterium. RNAcentral describes it as "partial 16S ribosomal RNA". It matches the Rfam family "Bacterial small subunit ribosomal RNA", at positions 28 to 523 of the family's 1533-position model. The record is from RNAcentral.